UCCGGUUUGUCACCGGCAGUCUCGCAUGAGUCCCCAACUAAAUGCUGGCAACAUCGAACGAGGGUUGCGCUCGUUGCGGGACUUAACCCAACAUCUCACGACACGAGCUGACGACAACCAUGCACCACCUGUAAACCAGCCCCGAAGGGAAACCGCAUUUCUGCGGCGGUCCGGUCCAUGUCAAGCCUUGGUAAGGUUCUUCGCGUUGCAUCGAAUUAAUCCGCAUGCUCCGCCGCUUGUGCGGGCCCCCGUCAAUUUCUUUGAGUUUUAGCCUUGCGGUCGUACUUCCCAGGUGGGAUACUUAAUGCUUUCGCUCAGACACACACAGUGUAUCGCGUAUGUCGAGUAUCCAUAGUUUAGGGCGUGGACUAC
Molecule: unclassified non-coding RNA, 372 nt
Filed under: uncultured Actinomycetes bacterium
Lineage: Bacteria; Bacillati; Actinomycetota; Actinomycetes
Description: uncultured actinobacterium contains 16S-23S intergenic spacer region
Source: RNAcentral